RNAcentral lists this ribosomal RNA (236 nucleotides) under Staphylococcus aureus. RNAcentral describes it as "partial 16S ribosomal RNA". It matches the Rfam family "Bacterial small subunit ribosomal RNA", at positions 1198 to 1433 of the family's 1533-position model. The record is from RNAcentral. Lineage: Bacteria; Bacillati; Bacillota; Bacilli; Caryophanales; Staphylococcaceae.
CCCCUUAUGAUUUGGGCUACACACGUGCUACAAUGGACAAUACAAAGGGCAGCGAAACCGCGAGGUCAAGCAAAUCCCAUAAAGUUGUUCUCAGUUCGGAUUGUAGUCUGCAACUCGACUACAUGAAGCUGGAAUCGCUAGUAAUCGUAGAUCAGCAUGCUACGGUGAAUACGUUCCCGGGUCUUGUACACACCGCCCGUCACACCACGAGAGUUUGUAACACCCGAAGCCGGUGG